RNAcentral lists this ribosomal RNA (492 nucleotides) under uncultured bacterium. Its description in RNAcentral is "partial 16S ribosomal RNA". It matches the Rfam family "Bacterial small subunit ribosomal RNA", at positions 29 to 507 of the family's 1533-position model. The record is from RNAcentral.
AGUGAACGCUGGCGGUAGGCCUAACACAUGCAAGUCGAACGGCAACACAGUAAGCUCUUGCUCUUACGGGUGGCGAGUGGCGGACGGGUGAGGAAUACAUCGGAAUCUACUUUUUCGUGGGGGAUAACGUAGGGAAACUUACGCUACUACCGCAUACGACCUACGGGUGAAAGCAGGGGAUCUUCGGACCUUGCGCGAUUGAAUGAGCCGAUGUCGGAUUAGCUAGUUGGCGGGGUAAAGGCCCACCAAGGCGACGAUCCGUAGCUGGUCUGAGAGGAUGAUCAGCCACACUGGAACUGAGACACGGUCCAGACUCCUACGGGAGGCAGCAGUGGGGAAUAUUGGACAAUGGGCGCAAGCCUGAUCCAGCCAUACCGCGUGGGUGAAGAAGGCCUUCGGGUUGUAAAGCUCUGUUGUUGGGAAAGAAAAGCAGCAUGUUAAUACCCCGCUGUUCUGACGGUACCCAAAGAAUAAGCACCGGCUAACUUCGUG